GAUGAACGCCGGCGGCGUGCCUAAUACAUGCAAGUCGAGCGAACAGAUAAGGAGCUUGCUCCUUUGACGUUAGCGGCGGACGGGUGAGUAACACGUGGGUAACCUACCUAUAAGACUGGAAUAACUCCGGGAAACCGGGGCUAAUGCCGGAUAACAUUUAGAACCGCAUGGUUCUAAAGUGAAAGAUGGUUUUGCUAUCACUUAUAGAUGGACCCGCGCCGUAUUAGCUAGUUGGUAAGGUAACGGCCUACCAAGGCAACGAUACGUAGCCGACCUGAGAGGGUGAUCGGCCACACUGGAACUGAGACACGGUCCAGACUCCUACGGGAGGCAGCAGUAGGGAAUCUUCGGCAAUGGGCGAAAGCCUGACGGAGCAAUGCCGCGUGAGUGAUGAAGGUCUUCGGAUCGUAAAGCUCUGUUAUUAGGGAAGAACAAAUGUGUAAGUAACUGUGCACGUCUUGACGGUACCUAAUCAGAAAGCAACGGCUAACUACGUG
RNAcentral lists this ribosomal RNA (497 nucleotides) under uncultured bacterium. RNAcentral describes it as "partial 16S ribosomal RNA". It matches the Rfam family "Bacterial small subunit ribosomal RNA", at positions 28 to 507 of the family's 1533-position model. The record is from RNAcentral.